CCUACGGGAGGCAGCAGUGAGGAAUAUUGGUCAAUGGACGAAAGUCUGAACCAGCCAUGCCGCGUGCAGGAAGACGGCUCUACGAGUUGUAAACUGCUUUUGUACGGGGGUAAACGCAGAUACGCGUAUCUGUCUGAAAGUCUCGUACGAAUAAGGAUCGGCUAACUCCGUGGCAGCAGCCGCGGUAAUACGGAGGAUUCGAGCGUUAUCCGGAUUUAUUGGGUUUAACGGGUGCGCAGGCGGAAGAUCAAGUCAGUGGGAAAAUUGAGGGGCUAAACCUUUUCUAGCCGUUGAAACUGGUUUUCUUGAGUGAGCGAGAAGUAUGCGGAAUGCGUGGUGUAGCGGUGAAAUGCAUAGAUAUCACGCAGAACUCCGAUUGCGAAGGCAGCAUACCGGCGCUCAACUGACGCUCAUGCACGAAAGUGUGGGUAUCGAACAGGAUUAGAUACCCUUGUAGUC
RNAcentral lists this ribosomal RNA (459 nucleotides) under uncultured bacterium. Its description in RNAcentral is "partial 16S ribosomal RNA". It matches the Rfam family "Bacterial small subunit ribosomal RNA", at positions 338 to 795 of the family's 1533-position model. The record is from RNAcentral.